CUACUUCAUAGAGAGUUUCCUGAGUUCUGUUAUUGUUUUUCCUGACAAUUUUAAGGAGUGUGUUUAUUUGGAGGUGGAAUGGAGGAAAGAGAAUGUUUUUCAAGAUACAGCCAAGUUUUACAGUGUUUCUUUUAGAAGUACUCUAGGAACUCUUUUGGUUGGGAAUCCCAUGCUGUAACCAAAAAGGCUUCGUGGUACUCAUUGUCCUUGGCAAUUUAAGUUGCUGCAGUUUCCUCAUCUCAUGUUAAGCUUAUGUCGUGUUCCGUGAUGUAAUUUAUACUGGGGGAUCAUUCCAUUAGUAGUUCAUAUAUAUACGACAACAUCCUUUCUGAUUUCAGGGCUGGUACCUCUCUACAGUACUGUUGUUGGGGCGUAAAUAAGGCUGGGUUCUGUUGCUCCUGGUGUCAAGCCCACUGUAUAAGAACAUUGCUGCAGAGAUCUGUAUGUGAUUGCACGAUGGGGGAAGAAUUAUACAAAGCGGACUAGAUGUUCUACUCUCCUAAGCAGGAUUUGCAGGAUUUAAGCAAAUCUGCUGGAAUUCCUUGAUCUUGUUCAUGCACCUUAUAGCUUGAGUAUUUUACCAGUACUGUGUGUGAUUGCUGUUAACUACCUUUCUUCUUAGGCUUUCACUGAAGACUUUUUAUGGAGGGAGCACUGAUUUUUCUACAUUUUCCUGAACUUCAGACCUCAAUAUCUCUACUUAAGGAAAUGAAAGAGACAUCCCGCUCCCUCAAAGCGGCAAGCACCCGGCUCUCCGGGAAACCGAGCUGGAGAGUGAGAAGAGGAGGCAGCAGCUGAGCCCAGCAGCAGAAUGAGACUGUGAAGCUUGAAGCUGCUGCCCACUUUGUACAGGAAGGAUGAAGAUCCCCAGAGUACUUAGGCUGUUGGUAGAGCUCUCGAGUCUGUUAUCAUGUCUCAGAUGCAGGGAGGCUCUCCUGGGAUCCCAGCCCAGCCAAAACCAUUUGCAGAGUGCAGGUAAGAACAAGAAGUUAUUAAUUCAGUCAUCAGGCAGAUUCUUUCCUGCAGUGGUGAUCUGAGACCACAGGUACGAUGAACCACUGCUAUCUGGCUUUCUUCUCCGUCAUUUCUUUCAUCCUGUAUGCCUCAAUGUUUAUCUCCUUCACCAACAUGGCCAAACUGCUUUCUCUUCGUCAUGUCUAAUACUCUUGCACUUCUCUUUUCCUCCCCCAUGUUCUUUUCCUUUCAUCUCUAUUUCUGCCCUGGUCUUUUUUUGCAUGCUCACUCCACCUAGCAAGAACUGAAUUCUCGUGUUCUCCCCUCUUAAGCUCCC
RNAcentral lists this long non-coding RNA (1291 nucleotides) under Gallus gallus (chicken). RNAcentral describes it as "long non-coding RNA NONGGAT008100". Lineage: Eukaryota; Metazoa; Chordata; Aves; Galliformes; Phasianidae. The record is from RNAcentral.